Molecule: ribosomal RNA, 217 nt
Filed under: Vibrio parahaemolyticus
Lineage: Bacteria; Pseudomonadati; Pseudomonadota; Gammaproteobacteria; Vibrionales; Vibrionaceae
Description: partial 23S ribosomal RNA
Rfam family: Bacterial large subunit ribosomal RNA
Source: RNAcentral
AGGGUGACUGCGUACCUUUUGUAUAAUGGGUCAGCGACUUAUAUUCUGUAGCAAGGUUAACCGUAUAGGGGAGCCGUAGGGAAACCGAGUCUUAACUGGGCGAAUGAGUUGCAGGGUAUAGACCCGAAACCCGGUGAUCUAGCCAUGGGCAGGUUGAAGGUUGGGUAACACUAACUGGAGGACCGAACCGACUAAUGUUGAAAAAUUAGCGGAUGAC